CCUACGGGUGGCAGCAGUGGGGAAUAUUGCACAAUGGGGGGAACCCUGAUGCAGCGACGCCGCGUGAGUGAAGAAGUAUUUCGGUAUGUAAAGCUCUAUCAGCAGGGAAGAAGAUGACGGUACCUGACUAAGAAGCCCCGGCUAACUACGUGCCAGCAGCCGCGGUAAUACGUAGGGGGCAAGCGUUAUCCGGAUUUACUGGGUGUAAAGGGAGCGUAGACGGCAGGGCAAGUCUGGAGUGAAAGCCCGGGGCCCAACCCCGGGACUGCUUUGGAAACUGCCAUGCUGGAGUGCGGGAGAGGUAAGCGGAAUUCCUAGUGUAGCGGUGAAAUGCGUAGAUAUUAGGAGGAACACCAGUGGCGAAGGCGGCUUACUGGACAGUAACUGACGUUGAGGCUCGAAAGCGUGGGGAGCAAACAGGAUUAGAUACCCUAGUAGUC
Molecule: ribosomal RNA, 440 nt
Filed under: uncultured bacterium
Lineage: Bacteria
Description: partial 16S ribosomal RNA
Rfam family: Bacterial small subunit ribosomal RNA
Source: RNAcentral